AUACGGAGGGUGCGAGCGUUAAUGGGAAUUACUGGGCGUAAAGCGUACGUAGGCGGUUGGUUAAGUUAGAUGUGAAAGCCCCGGGCUUAACCUGGGAACUGCAUUUAAAACUGGCGAACUAGAGUUGAGUAGAGGGGAGUGGAAUUUCAGGUGUAGCGGUGAAAUGCGUAGAGAUCUGAAGGAACACCAGUGGCGAAGGCGACUCCCUGGACUCGAACUGACGCUGAGGUACGAAAGCGUGGGUAGCAAACGGGAUUAGAAACCCCUGUAGUCC
This 274-nucleotide ribosomal RNA is filed under the name uncultured bacterium. RNAcentral describes it as "partial 16S ribosomal RNA". It matches the Rfam family "Bacterial small subunit ribosomal RNA", at positions 523 to 796 of the family's 1533-position model. The record is from RNAcentral.